UACUCGAGUGGCGAACGGGUGGGUAACACGUGGGUGAUCUGCCCUGCACUCUGGGAUAAGCCUGGGAAACUGGGUCUAAUACCGGAUAGGACCAUGCUUUAGUGUGUGUGGUGGAAAGUUUUUCGGUGUAGGAUGAGCCCGCGGCCUAUCAGCUUGUUGGUGGGGUAAUGGCCUACCAAGGCGGCGACGGGUAGCCGGACUGAGAGGUUGGUCGGCCACAUUGGGACUGAGAUACGGCCCAG
RNAcentral lists this ribosomal RNA (242 nucleotides) under uncultured Actinomycetales bacterium. Its description in RNAcentral is "partial 16S ribosomal RNA". It matches the Rfam family "Bacterial small subunit ribosomal RNA", at positions 88 to 334 of the family's 1533-position model. The record is from RNAcentral. Lineage: Bacteria; Bacillati; Actinomycetota; Actinomycetes; Actinomycetales.